Molecule: ribosomal RNA, 447 nt
Filed under: uncultured bacterium
Lineage: Bacteria
Description: SSU rRNA
Rfam family: Bacterial small subunit ribosomal RNA
Source: RNAcentral
AGAGCGAACGCUGGCGGCAGGCUUAACACAUGCAAGUCGAGCGGAUGUAGCAAUACAUCAGCGGCAGACGGGAUAGUAACACGUGGGAACGCGCCCUUUGGUUCGGAAUAACUCAGGGAAACUUGAGCUAAUACCGGAUAAGCCCUUACGGGGAAAGAUUUAUCGCCAAAGGAACGGCCCGCGUCCGAUUAGCUAGUUGGUGAGGUAAUGGCUCACCAAGGCGACGAUCGGUAGCUGGUCUGAGAGGAUGACCAGCAUCACUGGGACUGAGACACGGCCCAGACUCCUACGGGAGGCAGCAGUGGGGAAUAUUGGACAAUGGGCGCAAGCCUGAUCCAGCCAUGCCGCGUGGAUGAUGAAGGCCCUAGGGUUGUAAAGUCCUUUUAACGGGGAAGAUAAUGACGGUACCCGUAGAAUAAGCCCGGCUAACUUCGCGCCAGCAGCCGC